Gorilla gorilla gorilla (western lowland gorilla) is the source of this 2492-nucleotide long non-coding RNA. RefSeq lists it as uncharacterized. NCBI's taxonomy places the organism in Eukaryota, Metazoa, Chordata, Mammalia, Primates, Hominidae. The transcript is spliced from 2 exons. The record is from RefSeq and is a predicted model, not a curated record.
AGUCGACUUCACGCUAGUUUAAGGAAAUAGCUGACGCUGAUAACCAUGUCCCAAGCACUGCUGUAAGUUCCCAAUGUGUCCGGAAUUGGUGGGUUCUUGGUCUCACUGACUUCAAGACUGAAGCCACGGACCCUCGCGACUGUGCUAAAAACAGCCUCAGGACCUUCAGCACUGAUCAACAAUCCUGGGCAUGGGCUGACCGACAGUUUUCACCCAGAGAGUGAAGAUCAUGGAGGAGCCAUCUUAAAUUCCGCCCAGCGCAGGCUUCCAGGAAUCCUAAUGUCACGAUCUCACUGCAGCCAAUGUGACAAACACAGAAGUAAUUAAGUCUAGAGAGCUAAACACACCUCAAAAAGAAUUGUCUCUUGGUAUGAGUGGAAUGGAAUAAAAUACAUGGAAACCCACAAAAGUUUCGAGGUGAACAUAUUAGCAAAAAUGCUGUAGCUAUCCAAACGACAGUUCAAAGUGUUAAAGGACUUCUAGACUCCCAAUCUUUCCAUCGGCAGAAAGCAGGCUUAGUAGCCCAAACUGGCGCAUUUUAAAAUGCCCUUUUCAGAAGUGUGAUGGAGAAAGAAGGAUGUGUCAAUGCAGGCCAGUGUGUGGGGACCAAUGGCAAACUGCAGCUCCUGAACUAAGAAACACUUUCAUAUCUUUAAAAAAGAAAAGGAGAAAUAGGAAUAUGUGAUAGAGACUGUAUGUGGCCCACAAAGCCUAACAUAUUUACUGUUUAGAUCUUUACAGAAAAUGUUUGCCAGCUCCUGUGCUGCUGAGCCACUUCCAGGUUGCAGAACCAAAGCCUUACAUUCCUUAGCUUUAAAGUAGAGGACCUGGCAAUGUUUACUCCACCGAGUUUCAAAAUAGCUAUGUGACUGCUAUUUCACCCCUUCAUUCUUCCCUUACCAAUGGGCCUUAUCCUGUCCCUGUCUCAUCACUGUAUGUUGGGUCUAAGUGGACAAUAACUUGUCUUUUCAAAAAGCGCAUAAGCUUCUAGACCAAUAAAAGCCAUAUUAGGACCUGAUGUGGCUCACAAGAUGCUAGACUUCUUGCUUGAGGCCAUGAUUGGAAGAAACUAGGAAGGGGGUCCUUAGAUGGGGGUGGGCAAAUUUUACAUGAAUAAUGGAGGCAGUGGGCACAGAUCGUGGUAGGUAGUAUAAAUGACCCCAAUUCCCCACCCCUUCCUGCAUCCAUGUUCUUUGCCUCAUGUCUUGCUUUGGCCAAUGAGAAGUUCACAGAGAGGACACAAGCACAGGUUUGAAAGAGGCUUUCGCGGUUGGACUCGCUUUCCUCUGCGUCUCUGCCUUCGCUAUGAGAAGAACAGGCACCGGUCUUGGGAAGAUGGUGAGAGAAACACAGAACCAAGCUGCUCUAGACAGGCCUAGCCUAGACCAGGUGGCCCACAGACCAUUACUGAACCCAGCCUGGAUCAUCCAACUCCCAGCCAAACUGCAGACCAUGAGGAAUGUUUAUUGUUGUCACGGAGAUUUAGGGUGGCUCAUGCAGCAAAAGCCAGUUGAUGCCCGUAGGUGGGAUUAUAAUCCCGGAUACAUUAAAAUGCCAAUCUCUUCUUUUCCCCAUGUCUUCAUUUGCUCACUCUCAGGUGAAGGGAUCUUGCUCAGAGGCCCAGACGUUCUGGAUUUUCUCUUUAGAAACUGUGGCUUGAAGAAUCCUCUUCAGGAAACAAUAUUUACUCCUUUUGUAUCUCCAAAACCCCUCCUCACCCCUUUUGCAACCCAAACCCAAGUGUCUUCUGUGUCCUAUUUUUCUUCUUUUGAGACAGAGUCUUGCUCUGCUGCCCAGGCUGGAAUGCAGUGGUGCGAUCACGGCUCACUGCAGCCUCGACCUCCCUGGCUCAGGUGAUCCUCGCAACUCAGCCUCCCGAGUAGCUGGGACUACAGACACAUACCACAAUACCUGGCUAAUUUUUUUGUAUUUUUUUGUAGAGGUGUGGUUUCACCAUGUUGCCCAGGUUGGUCUUGAACUGAGCUCAAGCAAUCUGCCUGCCUCGGCCUCCCAAAGUGCUGGGAUUACAGGUGUGAGCCACUGCGCCUGGCCAGCUUGUACAUUUUACAAUCAAGAUUACAAGACUACUGCCAGCUGUAGGCCACAUCAGGCUCUGAGAAGAGGGGAUGUGGACAGAGGUAACCGGGACAAAAGGAAAAAAAAGUCUUUAAUUUCACCUUUUCUGAUGCCAUUUAGUUCAUGCCGAUCAUCUGUAAUUCACAUCUGUGAACUUUCAGCCCGUUUGGGAGAAGUCUUCCCUCAAGUGCUUAAUUAUGGCACAGGAUGGUCUCUUUUACACAAACGACUGUGCAAAGACAUAGAAAGUGGAAUUUAUUUCUAUCAGAAUUAAUUCAGAAAAUCUGGGUAAGUUCCACACUCCAUUUAACACUCAUUACACAUAAUAACUGGUCAGACCACAUUGUGUAUUACUUAACCCACAUUACAUGAAUAGUCUAGGAAUAAUAAAAGAAUUUACUAUUUAUCUGAAAAAA